This 709-nucleotide ribosomal RNA is filed under the name uncultured archaeon. Its description in RNAcentral is "bacterial SSU rRNA". It matches the Rfam family "Archaeal small subunit ribosomal RNA", at positions 137 to 846 of the family's 1478-position model. The record is from RNAcentral.
AAACUGAGGAUAAUACUGGAUAGGCAAUUAUUCCUGCAAUGGUUUUUUGUUUAAAUGUUUUUUCGCCUAAGGAUGGGUCUGCGGCCGAUUAGGUAGUUGGUUAGGUAAUGGCUUACCAAGCCGUUGAUCGGUACGGGUUGUGAGAGCAAGAGCCCGGAGAUGGAACCUGAGACAAGGUUCCAGGCCCUACGGGGUGCAGCAGGCGCGAAACCUCCGCAAUGUGAGAAAUCGCGACGGGGGGAUCCCAAGUGCCAUUCUUAACGGGAUGGCUUUUCAUUAGUGUAAAGAGCUUUUGGAAUAAGGGCUGGGCAAGACCGGUGCCAGCCGCCGCGGUAACACCGGCAGCUCUAGUGGUAGCAGUUUUUAUUGGGCCUAAAGCGUCCGUAGCCGGUUUAAUAAGUCUCUGGUGAAAUCCUGUAGCUUAACUGUGGGAAUUGCUGGAGAUACUAUUAGACUUGAGACCGGGAGAGGUUAGAGGUACUCCCAGGGUAGAGGUGAAAUUCUGUAAUCCUGGGAGGACCGCCUGUUGCGAAGGCGUCUAACUGGAACGGUUCUGACGGUGAGGGACGAAAGUUAGGGGCGCGAACCGGAUUAGAUACCCGGGUAGUCCUAACCGUAAACGAUGCGGACUUGGUGUUGGGGUGGCUUUGAGCUGCUCCAGUGCCGAAGGGAAGCUGUUAAGUCCGCCGCCUGGGAAGUACGGUCGCAA